UUUCAGUGUUUAUUGCAUAUCA
This 22-nucleotide small nuclear RNA is filed under the name Arabidopsis thaliana (thale cress). RNAcentral's name for it is "snRNA_16462". The record is from RNAcentral. Lineage: Eukaryota; Viridiplantae; Streptophyta; Magnoliopsida; Brassicales; Brassicaceae.